This is a long non-coding RNA of Corticium candelabrum, 158 nucleotides long. RefSeq lists it as uncharacterized. The record is from RefSeq and is a predicted model, not a curated record. The transcript is spliced from 3 exons. Lineage: Eukaryota; Metazoa; Porifera; Homoscleromorpha; Homosclerophorida; Plakinidae.
GGGACAUUGUUGUGAUGGUCAAGAACUGACUGUACGUGACUUGAGCACUCUAAAAGACAGUAAUUGGCUCAAUAGUCAGGUCGUCAAUUCAUUCAUGCAAAACAUUGCAAUGGAAUUGAACAAUCAAGGGUAUAACGUAUUCGCAUACAAUUCCUUCC